UGAGACCUCUUGAUGGCCGCGGCCGUGAUCUUCAUUGGGAUCGGCUGAGGAACUUCCGGGCUCCAUAGAGCACGAUGGCGGAUAACGUCCGCCCAGGGUGACCUGAGAGAUAGCGCAGCAGAGAAUAGACCGCCCGUCCUCGACGGGUAAGGGUGAAACGGCGGUGUAAGAGACCACCGGGCCUCUGG
RNAcentral lists this RNase P RNA (188 nucleotides) under Bifidobacterium breve. RNAcentral describes it as "partial RNase P RNA component class A". It matches the Rfam family "Bacterial RNase P class A", at positions 1 to 189 of the family's 367-position model. Rfam says of the family: Ribonuclease P (RNase P) is a ubiquitous endoribonuclease, found in archaea, bacteria and eukarya as well as chloroplasts and mitochondria. Lineage: Bacteria; Bacillati; Actinomycetota; Actinomycetes; Bifidobacteriales; Bifidobacteriaceae. The record is from RNAcentral.